GAACCUCCGGGGGCGGGGAGGUUCGACUCGAGCGAAGCGAGAGAACGUUGCGCCAGCAACGGCCCGCAGGGCGAGCCACGAAGUGGCGAGUAAUCCUCUAUCACCGACCA
RNAcentral lists this small RNA (110 nucleotides) under Escherichia coli. Its description in RNAcentral is "partial RtT sRNA". It matches the Rfam family "RtT RNA", at positions 26 to 130 of the family's 130-position model. Rfam says of the family: This family represents a bacterial cis-regulatory element known as RtT RNA. The exact function of RtT is unknown although it is thought that it may be involved in changing the cellular response in relation to amino acid starvation. Lineage: Bacteria; Pseudomonadati; Pseudomonadota; Gammaproteobacteria; Enterobacterales; Enterobacteriaceae. The record is from RNAcentral. RNAcentral also lists the same sequence under 1 other name.